GAUAGGUUAAAUUUAUUCUCGGGAAAUUUAAAUUAGCUCUCAAGCCCCAGUGUGUAAUUUUUUUACUUUUCUGGCGGCAUCUGGUGGUAAAGUUGCAACCAACUGAGCUUUCGAUAAGGGACAUUUUGUGGUGGCGUACCGAUAAUUCCACUUCCGGUUUCCCGCAGCACUGUUCACUUAUUCUGGACCGUUUUCUGCAACAACCGUAUUUAACCUUAUUAUACCGCGGAACCGCUCGGAACUCGGACCUUGCAAGUAGGGGUGGUGGUUUUUUUCCGACCUCCGGAGUCGCAGUUGAACCCAACACGACGUAGCAAACAUGGCGACUUACACGUAGGUCGGGUCCCGCUAAUGUUACUAUAUUUGACUCGUUCAAAGUUGACGAAAAUCAUCGGUUCUUUGUUGCAGUCAGUCGGGUGACGUCUCUCUAAACACCUGUCAGAGGAGCUUUGAUCAGCAAUGGCGGGUUCGGUUGCAGUGAGGUGCAGUCACCCGAGCGGAGCCGUUCUAACAGUGAAGCGUCUUCGUCCUGUCCUCAGGAAUCCUGAGGUUAAAGCGAUGGAUAUGUUACUUCCCGAUAGAAUAAGCCACUGACGGAGAAUCCCCUCCCCGCUUCGGUCCCAGAUGACUGGUUGUCCGUGGCUCUACCCUCCACUGUCCUCUGUCGGUCUGCAGGAGUCUCAUUUGUGAAGCAAGCACAUUAUCCACGCUGGCUUCCACAUAGACAGGAGGGAGGAGGAGGAGACGCGAAGCGAGAGCUAAUGAUCCGCAGUGUCCAGUUGAAAUUAGCUCCAUUAAUCACACCAUUGAUUGGUCAGGGGCAGAAGGCACUGCUGGCCCGUCCCCAUUGUCUCUUUCGCAAGAUGCCGUUAUGAUGUGUGGAUACUGGCACCAUCCUCUGUAUGGUGGAACUGUAAAUGAUAUGUGCUGAAGGUGGAGGAAUAGUCUCUGGGGAAAUGACUGUUUGUGUUUUUCGGGUCUUUGCAGGAGAGGUCGAUACCCGUCUGAUGGCUCCCUCCACCCUCUGCCCAUUCAAUGACGUCACAGUCAGCAGUGAUUAUCCUGAAAACUUUGAAGUCUCACUCUCUCUGCAUUUCCACCUUAGUUCUUUCUCCUUCCUCCCUCCGAUGUAAGUCCUGCAGCUCUGUGACCCACGACAUCAUGAGCAUUUCACUUUUAGCAGCAGCCAGUGAGAGAGCUUUCUCUUUGAUUGAGAUUCACCUUUCAGAAAGAAGGUAUGUGAUUUGAAAAUGAGAGGCCAUUACUAUGGAUCAGCUGCCAUUGUAUGAAACAUAACUGCAACCAUGAGAUGAGCCUCAUUGUUAUUUAUCUAAACCCGUGAGGUGAAGAAACACAUACUAAAGGUAUGUUUCAUAUUUCCCUUUUAAAAGAAUGUGACUGUGAAUAAUGCAGUAAUAUUUUCACCGCACUCAAAAACCUUGAUCAUGUUCCACUGUCUGCUCCCUCACUGUCAGCUGCGAGCCGAGGAAGAUCCUGCUCUGCACAGAAAGACACAUUUUACUUUUGACAGAUUCACAGCCCAGCACCUGGACAGACUUUUACUAGCAGUGUAUCCACCCGGCUGACAUGGCACCACUGAGCACCAAGCCACUGAGCAAGUGCACCCGCAGUUUAUCUUUGUUCUCACCGACAAUUAGAAGACGAAGAGGGAUUUUCCUCACGCUUCUCCUCCGGGUGUUUGGAGCAGCAUUUCUGGAAAUCAGAUGCAAAAACUCCCCAUGCAGGUUUGUAGGAAACACAGAGAGUGAGAUUUUCUUUGGGCUCUUCAUCAAACACCAGCCACCAUCCCACUUCCCCGAUGAUUACUGUAUAGUCUUUGUCAGCAGCCUAUAUCUAUACAGGUUUUUUUAUUAAACUAUAUACAAAAUGUAGUGUAGACACCGGUCUACAAUGACCUAGAAGGGAGGGGGCUUCUUUAAGAGCUAAACAGGAAUGUUUAAACCAAGUCAAGAUGGAUGUUGGUCUGUUACAUGUUUCAUAUAACGGACAAUCAGAGUUCGUUUCCUUGUCGCUCUGGUAAAUUAGAUGAAACUGCAGUUAGUCAAAAACGGCCAUGUGAUGCUUUGGAGGCGGAUACGUGAGAACAACAGAGAAGGAAAAAUAUGUGUUUAUUUUUUUCCUGCUUGGAAUACAGAGCCGCUAUUUGACAGUGCUACAAUUUUAUCAGCAGGAGACAUGGGAUACAAUCUCUUCAUGUUGUACACCUCAGCAACAAAUCUGCUAAAUCAACACAGCCCAGACAUUUUCCCUUUCCCCCCUGCUCUCUCUCAUUUUGGUGAUUAUUUUCAGUGAGUGGAAACCCAGGCUCGGGAAGUGUUAUGCAUUUCAAACAGUCCAGAGAGGCCGACUGCACGGCUACCCGCUGGCAACCCGCUCUAUUUGCUUUCCCUCGCUUUAUCUGAAGCCUCAACACGAGGAUAAUAAGAAUGUCCUGCCCUGGACUUUAUUUUUGUACUACAGCCAUGAUGGUCCCCUGUUUGCUUCCAAAGACGUGCUUUUUCUCCUUUACUCAGCAGAAUUUUACCAAAAUCGAAGGCAAGUAGUAUAAAAUCUGUGGGAUUCUGUAUUAGCUCAAACUCAUCCACAUGUCAACCAAUAACACGUCACUCUCUUCCACAGGGAUUAGGCCUCUAAGGAUGUGAGGGUUAAAAUAAGAUGACAGCCAACCGUAUUAGACAGAUGACUGUGGGAAAGACAGGGUGGGCAGCCCCAUGUGAACGACCCUCUACAGAGGAAGUGUGGGCUGUGGUCAAGUCAUGCAUGUUGUGUUGUAUCAUGAUCACAGAGGAACUGACUUUCAGGCAGUGAAGGGUACAACCGCUGGAUGUACGGUCAGUGGCCUGAGUAGCCUGAAAUAUGUUACUGUGUACUGUGAACACGUCAUGUGUCUAAAGAGGAGCUUUCUCGUGUGUGUGAGAUCCUCCAGGGUUGGUGGAGGCGCAGAGGGAAGGACGUGUGGAGUACAGGACAUGGCCUGACGCUGCUGACCCGGACUUCCUGCCAGAAGAGAUGGUGUCAAAGCGGGACCUUCCUGGUUAAAUAAAGGAUAACUAAAUAAA
Long non-coding RNA from Scophthalmus maximus (turbot), 3080 nucleotides. RefSeq lists it as uncharacterized. The transcript has 4 exons. The record is from RefSeq and is a predicted model, not a curated record. Lineage: Eukaryota; Metazoa; Chordata; Actinopteri; Pleuronectiformes; Scophthalmidae.